RNAcentral lists this ribosomal RNA (254 nucleotides) under uncultured bacterium. Its description in RNAcentral is "partial 16S ribosomal RNA". It matches the Rfam family "Bacterial small subunit ribosomal RNA", at positions 524 to 776 of the family's 1533-position model. The record is from RNAcentral.
UACGUAGGCAGCGAGCGUUGUUCGGAGUUACUGGGCGUAAAGGGCGCGUAGGCGGUACUUCAAGUCAGGCGUGAAAGCCCCCGGGCUCAACCUGGGAACCGCGCUUGAGACUGGAGAACUAGAGUUCGGGAGAGGAUGGUGGAAUUCCCAGUGUAGAGGUGAAAUUCGUAGAUAUUGGGAAGAACACCGAUGGCGAAGGCAGCCAUCUGGACCGACACUGACGCUGAGGCGCGAAAGCGUGGGGAGCAAACAGG